ACAUGGGUAGCUCAGUUGGUAGACCAUGAGGCCCUUAAUCUCAGAGUCAUGGGUUUGAGCCCCACAUUGGGCA
Podarcis lilfordi (Lilford's wall lizard) is the source of this 73-nucleotide non-coding RNA. NCBI's taxonomy places the organism in Eukaryota, Metazoa, Chordata, Lepidosauria, Squamata, Lacertidae. The record is from the annotation of a GenBank genome assembly.